GGUGCGCGUGCUGUAUGUGCUAACUGAUGCCCUGUGUUAUAGUGGGCCGUCAAGGUCAGUUUGUAUACUGCGGGAAAUGGCUACUGAGGAGGUAGGGCUUACGCUUGCGUUUGUCUAUUAUAUCUUGGUAGUUGUGUCGUGGUUGAGACUGAGGUGUUCUACAACGUGCUUAUGAGUGGGUCUGUGUCUCCGUGUGCGCCGUGUGCAGAUAGCUUGCUAUGUGUGUGUGGUGGUGUGUGGAUUGAUGUGGGCUUUAUCUUACUGCCGUUCGGGACUUUGGCGAAAUAGAGCGAUUUGACCCGUCUUGAAACACGGACCAAGGAGUCUAACAUGUGUGCAAGUGUUAGGGUGUGGAAACCCCAGCGCGAAAUGAAAGUAAAGGAUAGUGUAAACUAUCUUAGGUAGGAAACGUUAUGAACUUCGGUUUGUGGCGUGGCACUAUCGUCCGAUCAUGAACCCUCGUGGUGAAAGAUUUGAGUUUGAGCACAUAUGUUGGUACCCGAAAGAUGGUGAACUAUGCCUGAGUAGGGUGAAGCCAGGGGAAACUCUGGUGGAGGCUCGCAGCGAUUCUGACGUGCAAAUCGAUCGUCGAACUUGGGUAU
Molecule: ribosomal RNA, 602 nt
Filed under: Hyaloperonospora cardamines-laciniatae
Lineage: Eukaryota; Oomycota; Peronosporomycetes; Peronosporales; Peronosporaceae
Description: partial large subunit ribosomal RNA
Rfam family: Eukaryotic large subunit ribosomal RNA
Source: RNAcentral